Molecule: ribosomal RNA, 407 nt
Filed under: uncultured bacterium
Lineage: Bacteria
Description: partial 16S ribosomal RNA
Rfam family: Bacterial small subunit ribosomal RNA
Source: RNAcentral
AUUGAACGCUGGCGGCAGGCCUAACACAUGCAAGUCGAGCGGAGCGGCGGACGGGGGAGUAAGACCUAGGUAUCGGCCUGGGAGUGGGGGAGAACGAUCGGAAACGGAAGCUAAUACCGAAUACUAUCAGAUGAGCCUAGGCCGGAUUAGCUAGUGGGUGGGGUAAUGGCUCACCCAGGCCACGAUCCGUAGCUGUUCUGAGAGGAUGAUCAGUCACACUGGAACUGAGACACGGUCCAGACUCCUACGGGAGGCAGCAGUGGGGAAUAUUGGACAAUGGGCGAAAGCCUGAUCCAGCCAUGCCGCGUGUGUGAAGAAGGUCUUCGGAUUGUAAAGCACUUUAAGUUGGGAGGCGUUACCGACAGAAUAAGCACCGGCUAACUCUGUGCCAGCAGCCGCGGUAAUAC